GCGGGGUAGCUCAGUUGGUGAGAGCGCAGGAUUCAUAACCCUGAGGUCGGCGGUUCAAAUCCGCCCCCC
This 69-nucleotide transfer RNA is filed under the name uncultured Hyphococcus sp. It matches the Rfam family "tRNA". Rfam says of the family: Transfer RNA (tRNA) molecules are approximately 80 nucleotides in length. Their secondary structure includes four short double-helical elements and three loops (D, anti-codon, and T loops). The record is from RNAcentral. RNAcentral also lists the same sequence under 1 other name. Lineage: Bacteria; Pseudomonadati; Pseudomonadota; Alphaproteobacteria; Parvularculales; Parvularculaceae.